GGUACCCGAGAGGAACUGACACGCUGGUGCGCGGUCGCCCGUGGGGUCGUGGUUUCGAGCCCAAGGGGGCCGGAACGGGGAAGGCUGCGCAGGCGCGCAGAGUCGCGGCCGACUUCUGGAGGGCGGAAGCGCCGUGGGGAGAGACAUUUAGACGGGAAUGGCUGCCUCAGCCAUGACGGAGAGUGAAGGAGAUACACGUAAAGCCCUCAGCACACUAACUGUGGUUAGUCAUUUUCAUCAGUGACCAUUUUGAGGAACAGAUGUGGAGACAUCGCACUAGAAUCUCUCACAACUUGGAGAACCAUUCCUUCCAUCUCCUCAGCUCCACAUUCACAGGACUCUGUUCUUCAAGAGAGGCCUCAUGAAGGGGAGCACGGCCACUGGGCCUCUGGAAGGCACAUCACAGGUGAGUUAUGGUUUGUUUUUUCUUACAAUG
RNAcentral lists this long non-coding RNA (436 nucleotides) under Bos mutus (wild yak). RNAcentral describes it as "lncRNA (ENSBMUG00000014765.1)". Lineage: Eukaryota; Metazoa; Chordata; Mammalia; Artiodactyla; Bovidae. The record is from RNAcentral.